GACGAACGCUGGCGGCGUGCCUAAUACAUGCAAGUAGAACGCUGAAGGAGGAGCUUGCUUCUCUGGAUGAGUUGCGAACGGGUGAGUAACGCGUAGGUAACCUGCCUGGUAGCGGGGGAUAACUAUUGGAAACGAUAGCUAAUACCGCAUAAGAGUAGAUGUUGCAUGACAUUUGCUUAAAAGGUGCAAUUGCAUCACUACCAGAUGGACCUGCGUCGUAUUAGCUAGUUGGUGAGGUAACGGCUCACCAAGGCAACGAUACAUAGCCGACCUGAGAGGGGGAUCGGCCACACGGGAACUGAGACACGGUCCAGACUCCGACGGGAGGCAGCGGUAGGGAAGCUUCGGCAAGGGGCGAAAGCUGGACGGAGCAACGCGGGGGGAGUGAUGAAGGUCUUCGGAGCGGAAAACGAGGUGAUUAGGGAAGAAGAAAGGUGUAAGGAAAUAUGCACGUCUUGACGGUACCUAAUCAGAAAGCCACGGCUAACUACGUG
This 494-nucleotide ribosomal RNA is filed under the name uncultured bacterium. RNAcentral's name for it is "partial 16S ribosomal RNA". It matches the Rfam family "Bacterial small subunit ribosomal RNA", at positions 28 to 507 of the family's 1533-position model. The record is from RNAcentral.